Molecule: ribosomal RNA, 424 nt
Filed under: Verrucomicrobiota bacterium
Lineage: Bacteria; Pseudomonadati; Verrucomicrobiota
Description: Verrucomicrobia bacterium partial 16S ribosomal RNA
Rfam family: Bacterial small subunit ribosomal RNA
Source: RNAcentral
UGAGGAAUAUUGGUCAAUGGGCGAGAGCCUGAACCAGCCAAGUAGCGUGCAGGACGACGGCCCUAUGGGUUGUAAACUGCUUUUAUGUGGGGAUAAAGUGCGUGACGUGUCAUGCAUUGCAGGUACCACAUGACUAAGGACCGGCUAAUUCCGUGCCAGCAGCCGCGGUAAUACGGAAGGUCCGGGCGUUAUCCGGAUUUAUUGGGUUUAAAGGGAGCGUAGGCUGUCUAUUAAGCGUGUUGUGAAAUUUACCGGCUCAACCGGUGGCUUGCAGCGCGAACUGGUCGACUUGAGUAUGCAGGAAGUAGGCGGAAUUCAUGGUGUAGCGGUGAAAUGCUUAGAUAUCAUGACGAACUCCGAUUGCGCAGGCAGCUUACUGUAGCAUAACUGACGCUGAUGCUCGAAAGUGCGGGUAUCAAACAGG